CACAGUUUCUCUUUUUUAUUGGUCACAGAUUAACCAAUUUAAUUGUCAGAAUCAAUCAAUUAAUUUAUAACCACCAUCAAACAACUACUACCUCCAACAGCACUUUUGCCACGACCACGCCCACGCCCACGCCCACGCCCACCAUUCCCAGAACUACCACUAUCACCUGACAACACCACCACUGUCUUAAACAAAAUUAACACAUCCACCUCGACAGACAACGGUCACCAACAUCUCACUGCCACCACCGCAUCCAUUGCCACGGCCACCGUCGCCUAUUGCCACCGUUACCCUCAAAACAUGGAAGCCAUCACCACCACACCCUUAACAACGAAAACCACCGCAACCACUACACCACACCUGCCAUCAACCACCUGUGCAACCAUCGCACCACACCACCAGAUCCACCACGAGUCACCACAGCUACUGCGGCGUCGUCAUCUCCACCAUUAUUGCAACACCACCAUCACCACAUUGCACCAGAAAACACCACCGCACAUACCACCAUAAACAGCACACCAGACUAUCGCAUGUAUCAUGCCUAGAUCCACGGCACCACAUCAGUAUCGUCAACCGCCAACACUACCAUCAACACUUCACCAGCACCACAAAAAAAACCCCCCAAAAGUGCAGAUCAAAAAGAGAGAGAUCAG
Molecule: long non-coding RNA, 653 nt
Filed under: Olea europaea subsp. europaea
Lineage: Eukaryota; Viridiplantae; Streptophyta; Magnoliopsida; Lamiales; Oleaceae
Source: RNAcentral